GCCUCAGGAUGCUAAUGUGUGCGCGGACUUCGGCAUGGGCUCGUGUUACCUUUGGCUUUCUUUGCAGGUGGAGACGACUUGUCCUCCGGUCCAGCAAGGCAGCACAUUAUCCACACCGCAAUAGUGUUUUACAGAAAAACCUACCGUUUAGCGGUGCAAUCAGUUCAUUUACUGCACCGGGAACGGGUCCCGAAAUUACUUCAAGAUUCCGCUCCAGUUUAGACGUUCAGGUAUCCAGAAAAAUCAGCAUGUCGUCUACUGCGAUGUGCCAAAGAAUGGUUUGGGUGGACCUAGAGAUGACAGGUCUGGACAUCGAGAAGGACCAGAUCAUUGAAAUGGCAUGCAUUAUCACAGACUCUGACCUGAACAUUUUGGCUGAGGGGCCCAACUUGAUAAUUAACCAGCCAGACAAGCUGCUGGAAGGGAUGUCAGAGUGGUGUAAAGAGCAUCAUGGAAAGGAUGAAUCAACAGGCCCCACUCUGGAAGCUGAAACAACUGAAUGACAAGGAAUUGGGUUUUUUUUUUGCAUGUCUGAAAGGACCCCUGCAGAGAUCACCAAACCCUUCUUAUUUCACAUUAUCACAGUUACAGAAAUUAUGACUAACUCUGGAUUGGUUGAAAUACAAUACAGCAGGAGGAAACAGCCUGUGAACUGGCAUUGUUUAUAUUUUCACGUGUAACUCAGGAAUUAUUUUCACAGGGCAUUAUGAGGGAGGGACUUAAAUAUGUCAGACUUCAAGAGAUUUUCCCGGUAAAAGAAAUAAAUAAACAGAUAAAUUACAUUACCCCCCCACACACACACACAACUGAAUAUUAAAUUUAACAGUCUAGUGUAUGGAUUUUUGCAAUUCGAAUAGAAAUUCUAAUUUAGAAUAUUUGUUGACAUCCCUAACCCAUGCUAAUUUAUCAGUUCUUGGCUGCAAGAACACAGAAGUCUUUACCUACUCCCACCAUCUGAGGAAGUGGAUUAGCUUGCUGGAAAUGUCCCCGCAACAACAGGGAAACUUUAAGGCUAACAGUCACAAUGUUGUGUGUGCACUAAUCAUUUUACUUGACGAUUUGCUUCUCAACUGAAGCUCAAAAAUGGAUCCAUUCCAACUUAGAACCAGAAGGUUUUUCCAUUUUAUGUUGUUUUACUGUUUUUUGCUGGUUAGCUUGUUGAAUUUGGUGUUAGCAUGUUCUGCAGCAAAUGUGGCUACUCGCAUUUAUUGCAGACCCACACGCUGGAGCAAUGUUGGAAUAUUUAAUAUUGAGGGAGAGUCAAGAGAAACUGUUUGAACAGUCAGCCUCAUUUGAAGCCAAUUAUAUAAACAGAGUAGUAGCGUGAAUGUGGGGAAACUUUUCUCAUGUAGCUUUUUGUGUAGUGUCACAUAACCAGACCUAGCAUUAUCUUCACACUUCAUACUGCAACGCAAGUUCAGCUGGUUUUCUCGUUACAGAAAACCCACACUGCUGCGUGCUGUGUCAGCAUCUGUUUCUGUUGCUGCUGUAUGAAAAUGUACUUGAUUGACAUGCCCCAUGGUGCACUGACUAAUUCACUUAUAUACUUGGGGUUUUCUGCCAAAGUAUAUUUUGUCGGUUUGUGUCUGUCAGUGUUGGGCGGUUGCAGCACUAAAAGUGGCAUUGCUAGUUAAACUACAUUUCUCAGUAGCAUGGUGAUAGUCACUGUUUUCUGUAUCACAUAGCUUUUCAGUAGCUCAGUUCUUUUUUUGAAGUGUUGUGGUUGCAUCAAAACACUAUAUUUUCCCAAGCUUUUCUGAAGCUCAAAUGCAGCAAGAGAAUAAGUCUAUUUCCCAAAAUAGCAAACCAGUCCUUUAGAAUUGUGCAUAAGAGCAGGUGUGAAUUGAAAGUGUAACUGUGUCUCAGUCAGGAUUGACCCAGGCUGUACGGGACAGUAAAAUCACAUUGGAACAAGCUGAGUAUGAGUUCCUGUCCUUCAUCAGACAGCACACCCCACCUGGCCAGUGUCCCCUUGCUGGUAACUCUGUGCAUGCAGACAAGAGGUUCUUGGACAA
Chelmon rostratus (copperband butterflyfish) is the source of this 2015-nucleotide RNA transcript. It is a transcript of the gene named small fragment nuclease, with no coding region annotated. NCBI's taxonomy places the organism in Eukaryota, Metazoa, Chordata, Actinopteri, Chaetodontiformes, Chaetodontidae. The transcript has 5 exons. The record is from RefSeq and is a predicted model, not a curated record.